AUUUACCUCGAUGGAGUCGAAAGAUUUAAUUUUGGAAAACCGUUUAACUUUCUGUCGGAGAAAUUCCGGACGUGACUCGUAUAAAACCGUUUUUCCUAGGCCGGAUAGACCGCCUGGAAACGCUUCGGCUUUCCAACCUGCGGGUCCCGGGUUUGAGUCUCUGGUCCCACCACUCGAAAAUGUUCAUCGUGGGAUCCGGCCCGGCAGUCCUCCGUCGGGAUGGGCAGCCGGUGGAAGGGCCGGUUUCGCCCCCCUCACUUAGUGUUCUAAUGGAAUGGAAAAUGGCAUCUCUGUUGACAAAAUAAAAAACGUUUUUUCUGUGUUAAACGUUAAGACCGAACCUCAUCUAGGCAAAACUAACACGGAACGCAAAAAGUUCAUUUUGCCUACGGAAAUCGAAUUAAGAUAUUUUCGAUUUUCUUCCCGUUUAGUGACACGAAAGAGCAGUGAGCCAACCGGCUGCCACCGCAUCACCGCUGUCAAACAGUGGGCCACGGGCCGCUCGCCUAACCCGAUAUGACAUCACGGGUUAGGCCAGUCGGUAAAGUUCGAAGAACAAAACAAACCCGGGACGAAGGAUGCGAAGUGGUAAAAAUUAAGGUCGAACUUUUUUAAUAGAAGUUUUCGAGCAUCCGCGCUUAUACGAUAAAAAGCGGCCCAAUUUUAAAGAUACGUUAUUAAUGGCGGCUACCAUCGGCCAGAAGUUUUGGACGGCGGAUAGAUUUACCCCGAACUUGCGCGUGACUCGAACUAAGUUAUGUCACCCUAUUCCGUUUUAUACAUUUAUUUAUUUACCAACAAAAAAAAAAAAAAACAUAACUAAUCCAAUGACAGAAAAUGAAACUCACUAUAAUCAGGCGAUAAAUGAAAAAUUCUUACAAAGUAUGAAUUAUAAUUAAAUAAGGCUCUGGCAUAGGGAAUGAGCAACAUCUCUCCAUUCCGCAAAUUAUAUCUAGAAGAGCAAAAUUGAAUUUUUUUCUAAACAAAAUUAUUUUCCCAUUAAAAAUUUGAUUAAAUCGGGUUUAAUUCUACCUUCUGACAGAAGGACAUAAGAUAAAAGAUGAUAAUUUUCACUGGUAAAAACGAUAUUAUUAUUUCUAAAUAAAUUUAACAAAGUGUUUUUGAAUUUUUUGAUUAAAACUAUGACAUCUUAACAAUAUAUUUUUAUAAAGCGAAAUUAUAAUCUUUGAAUCGAUAUACCACCUUAUCUAAAAUAUUUACCCGAAAAUUCUCCAACCGAUCGGUAAAUAAUUAUCAGGCUGCUAACGAAUUUAUCACAAACUUUUUUUUAUUCGGAUAAGAGCGGUGCCUAGAAAUGGCCCAGAAGCCACGGAUAGCGCUUACGCGUCGCGCCAAGAGAACGACGCCAAGUACCGAGCAAUUUCACCAGAGGCCGCUGUUUUCCAGCUCCCCAUUACGGAAAAUAAUUAUUAUCUAUACAGGAUAUAUUUUCUUUUUCUGUCCGCAAAAUGAUCUGAUUGAUUGAUGUCAAAAGCGCCAAUUAUUGACACUCGUCGUCGUAUGAAAUUAAUUGGUAUUAAAGCGACAUAUUUGUCUUUACAGCGCUCAAUCUCUCUCCCCGUGUGUUUUUAUCCGAGAAACGAUACGUAAUAAAAAGAGAAAACAUAGAUUUUGGAUACGACCAUUGUACGAUUCUGAGGAUUGCCUGGGACCAUCGUUAAAGAAUUGCUUUUAUACCACAGGCAAUAUCGGUUAAACUUCGAAAUACGGUUCAUUUUUCUAUCUACUUACAAGAAAUUCCAAAUUUAGCGUCUACAACUGCCCAUGCUGUUUUUUUUUUUUUUUAUCGAUACCUCCUUAAAACCUCUGUGUGUCUUGUCAAAUAACUGGGGAUAUUUUCUAAUUUCUUUCACGAAUAUUUCCUAUGUUUAUUUCCUGAUUCGUCGUCCUCUCGUCUUCCAUACUUAAAUUUCACUCUCUAUUUGGAGCGCGUCACCUGUGACGUCGCUCUCGACCGUACUCGAUUGAUUUAAAAUAUCUUUUUCCGGAUCAGGUUACGGAAAAGUUAAAACUCGCUCGACUCUGCAUUCCGGAUACUGCCUAUACGGAAAAUUUUAGAAUUUUCCGCUUCCGAAUUAUUUUUAUAUUGUGCUUUUCCGUAGAUGGAAGUUUUUCCAUAUACGAGGCCCAGCCUUUAGACGGUUAGGCGAUUUUUUCCUCUGGUUGCCUGCCUAGAUGGAAUAAACGGUGUGGGUUAAACCCCAGUUGGGGAUAGGAGGCGACGAAACUUAAACGUCGGUAUCGGAUGAAAGAUUUGGGAUCGGGAUCGAGCCUGGGGAAAGCGCCUUUCCUAAUAGCUCGUUUUUAACUGGUUAAAAAGCGCCGAUUGCUAGUUAAGUUCGAACGUUUGGAAGUGUGACGGAAGGUAAAAAGAUCUUUUUAUUUUUUUCAGGAGGGAGGAGAAAUGGAAGCUUACGGAGGGUCGACCAACAGCGGAU
RNAcentral lists this long non-coding RNA (2459 nucleotides) under Androctonus crassicauda. Lineage: Eukaryota; Metazoa; Arthropoda; Arachnida; Scorpiones; Buthidae. The record is from RNAcentral.